CUUUAUUCAUCAAUCAAGUACAAGAGAGGAGCCAAAACACUCGGCCCUCUGUGGAAUGAGUGACACAUUGUAAUCUAUUCCCUUUGACAGACCGCUGACUUCUCCUCUCCGUGAUCUCUGAACUGGAGGCAUGAAUUUAAAUACUGUUUUCAGACCAAACACUUUUUAUUUUUACAUUGGUCAAUUAUAUGUGAAACCUGUAAGGUAAAACAUUCUGUAGAUUGUUUCUCUAUUCAAAAUGCUCAUCCUGUCUUCUGGAAAGGCUAAUCUUGUCCACAGGCACAGGUCUUUUCAGUAGUAAUGAAGGCAUGCUUCUGAAAGAGUUAAGGGUCAAAGGUCAUAACUCAGCUGUAGCACAGUCAUAGGAGGUCAUAGGUCAUGCUCAGAGUUGUGCAUCUGAUAUCAUGCAAUGGUUCAUGUAGGUUUGAUCUGAGGGUGCAUUCCAAAUGGCUCCCUAUUCCCUAUGGGCCCUGGUCAAAAGAAGUGCACCCUAUUCCCUAUGUGCCCUGGUCAAAAGAAGUGCACCCUAUUCCCUAUGGGCCCUGGUCAAAAGAAGUGCACCCUAUUCCCUAUGUGCCCUGGUCAAAAGAAGUGCACCCUAUUCCCUAUGGGCCCUGGUCAAAAGAAGUGCACCGCGUAGGGAAUAGGGAGCCGUUUGGGACAGACUUGUUCUUCAGUUGGUACAGCAUUAACGUUAUAACUAGGGAGAUACAAGCAUUCUUUAACCACAGAACCUGGAUAUCUAAUGGAAAUACAUCGUAGGUGCUAACCAUUUGUAACGUGGUUUUGCUUGCCAAAUGGCACCCUAUUCCCUACAUAGUGCACUACUUUUGAUCAGGGCCCAUAAGGGUCUGGUGAAAAGUAGUGCACUAUUUAGCGUCUGGUUCCAUUUGUGACAUCAUAGUUUUGUGCUCUAUGGAAGAGGCUGUAUUAUUGUUAGCACUCGUUAUAGUGGGAGAUGGUUACAGAGGUUUUAGACAGAACAUUCAUUAUUGCUUAGGUCAAAGGAACAUUCUAAAAUAUGGCCACAUUGCCUGAGAUAUGAAAUACAUACAUUAGUUGGAGGAUUAGAGGGGGUUGGGGGUUAGAGGAAAGUUGGAGGAGAGUUAGAGGGGGUUAGAAAGUUAGAGGGGGUUAGAAAGUUAGAGGGGGUCAGAGAGUUAGAGGAGGUUAGAGGGGGUUAGAGGAGGGUUAGAGGAGGGUUAGAGGAGGGUUAGAGGAGGGUUAGAGGAGAGUUAGAGGAGGGUUAAAGAGUUAGAGGACGGUUAAAGAGUUAGAGGAGAGUUAAAGAGUUAGAGGAGGUUUAGAGGAGGGUUAGAGGAGAGUUAGAGGAGAGUUAGAGGAGGUUUAGAGGAGGGUUAGAGGAGAGUUAGAGGAGGUUUAGAGGGGGGUUAGAGGAGAGUUAGAGGAGAGUUAGAGGAGAGUUAGAGGGGUUAGAGGAGGGUUGGAGGAGAGUUAGAGGAGAGUUAGAGGGGUUAGAGGAGGGUUGGAGGAGAGUUAGAGGACGGUUAAAGAGUUAGAGGAGGUUUAGAGGGGGGUUAUAGGAGGGUUAGAGGAGAGUUAGAGGAGAGUUAGAGGAGAAUUAAAGAGUUAGAGGACGGUUAAAGAGUUAGAGGACGGUUAAAGAGUUAGAGGAGGGUUAGAGUUAUAGGGGGGUUAGAGAGUUAGGAGGGUUAGAGAGUUAGGAGGGUUAGAGAGUUAGGAGGGUUAGAGAGUUAGAGGGGGGUUAGAGAGUUAGAGGAGGGUUAAAGAGUUAGAGGACGGUUAAAGAGUUAGAGGAGGGUUAAAGAGUUGGAGAGUUAGAGGAGGGUUAGAGAGUUAGAGGGGGGUUAGAGAGUUAGGAGGGUUAGAGAGUUAGAGGGGGGUUAGAGAGUUAGAGGAGGGUUAAAGAGUUGGAGAGUUAGAGGAGGGUUAAAGAGUUAGAGGACGGUUAAAGAGUUAGAGGACGGUUAAAGAGUUAGAGGACGGUUAAAGAGUUGGAGAGUUAGAGGAGAGUUAAAGAGUUAGAGGAGGGUUAGAGUUAUAGGGGGGUUAGAGAGUUAGGAGGGUUAGAGAGUUAGGAGGGUUAGAGAGUUAGGAGGGUUAGAGAGUUAGGAGGGUUAGAGAGUUAGAGGGGGUUGGAGAGUUAGAGGAGGGUUAAAGAGUUAGAGGAGGGUUAAAGAGUUGGAGAGUUAGAGGAGGGUUAGAGAGUUAGAGGGGGGUUAAAGAGUUAGAGGAGGGUUAGAGAGUUAGAGGAGGGUUAUAGAGAGUUAGGAGGGUUAGAGAGUUAGAGGGGGUUAGGGAUAGAGGGUUAGAGGAGGGUUAGGGAUAGAGGGUUAGGUCUGGAGGGUUAGGGAUAGAGGGUUAGAAUGUUAGAGGAGGGUUAGGGAUAGAGGGUUAGAAGGUUAGAGGAGGGUUAGGGAUAGAGGGUUAGAAGGUUAGAGGAGGGUUAGGGAUAGAGGGUUAGAAGGUUAGAGGAGGGUUAGGGAUAGAGGGUUAGAAGGUUAGGGUUAGGGCUAGUAAACAAGAUAACAAAAGUCCAAAGUAAACAGAUAAAUAAAUCAGUGCAGAUCAGGGGGAAAAAGAGAGCAGGUCAACACAGGAAGAGAAGAGAGGAGCUCAACAGGCAAACAUUUCACUGUCGUCAAUAUAAUUGUGCAAAUAUAUCCUAUGAGAAUGUAUUGUUCAAGUUUUUUUUUACAAGCAAAGUUCUAUUACAUCAUGCUGCAGUCCCAUCCUCUUCUACAGCAUAGUUAAAACAUGGUAUCAUGCUGCAGUCCCAUUGUCUUCUACAGCAUAGUUAAAACAUGGUAUCAUGCUGCAGUCCCAUCCUCUUCUACAGCAUAGUUAAAACAUGGUAUCAUGCUGCAGUCCCA
Molecule: long non-coding RNA, 2855 nt
Organism: Oncorhynchus tshawytscha (Chinook salmon)
Lineage: Eukaryota; Metazoa; Chordata; Actinopteri; Salmoniformes; Salmonidae
Source: Ensembl